GAUAAAAUUAUUUAAUUAAUUAUAUUUAAUUUAAUUUUUAUUAAAUUUAAUUUAAAUAGAUUAGGUUAUAUAAAUAUUAUUUAUGAAAUAAUUUUAUUUAUAAUAGGUAAUUAGUAUAGUAUUAGAAUUUAAAUAAAAAUAAAAUAGAAAAUUUAAUUUAUUGUACCUUGUGUUUCAGGGUUAAUUAAUUUUAUUUUAUUUUAUUUAAAUUUUUCGAAAUUAAAAGAGUUAAUAUAUUUUUAUAUUUUUUAUUGUAGAAUAAGUAUUAAAAAUAAAAUAUUUGAAGUGAAACGUUAUUCGAUUUUAAUGAUAUCUAGUUUCUUAAGAAAUAAAUUUAAUUUAUUUUUUUUUAUUAAUAGUUUUAUUUAAAAUAAGUUAAUAAAAAAAUGAAAUAAUAAUAGGGUUGAGCUUAUUAUUAAAUUAAUAUAAUUAUUAUAAUUAAUUAAAUUUAAUAAUGGAAUUAAAAGUUUUUACUAAAUAGUGAGUUAUUUCUAGUUAAUUGAUAAUUUUUAUUUUUAUGAUAUAAUAAUUUAUGGGUUUUAUUUAAAGAUUUUAAUAAUAAUAAUAAUAAUUAAAAAAUAAUGAUUAAAUUAGUAAAUUUAUUUGUGGAAGAUAAUUAGUAUAGAUAGGUAGAAUAAAGGAAUUCGGCAAAUGAUUUUUUACCUGUUUAUUAAAAACAUGUCCUAUAAGUUUAUUUUUUUUUUAGGUUUAACCUGCCCAAUGAAUUAAGAUUAUUUUUAAUGGCCGCAGUAUUUUGACUGUGCAAAGGUAGCAUAAUCAUUAGUUUUUUAAUUGAAAGCUGGUAUGAAGGGUUGGAUAAAAAAAUUACUGUUUUUAUUGUAUUUAGUUUGAAUUUUAUUAUUAAGUUAAAAAGCUUAAAUAUUUAAUGAAGACGAGAAGACCCUAUAGAGUUUUAUAAUUAAAAUUUAAAGAAUUUUUAGAAUAAUUUAUUUUUAUUAAAUUUUAAAUUUUUAAUUGGGGUGAUUUUUAAAUUUGUUUAACUUUAUAAAUAUUAGAACAUUUAUUUAUGAAAAAAUGAUCCUUUUUUUAAGAUUAUAAGAAUUAAUUACCUUAGGGAUAACAGCGUUAUUUUUUUUGAGAGUUCAAAUCGAGAAAAAAGUUUGCGACCUCGAUGUUGGAUUAAAAUUUUAACUUGGUGUAGAAGCUUUGGUGUUAAGUCUGUUCGACUUUGAAAAUUUUACAUGAUCUGAGUUUAGACCGGUGUGAGCCAGGUUGGUUUCUAUCUCUUUUUAGAAAAAAUUAUUUAGUACGAAAGGACCAAUAUUUUGUUAUAAUUUAAUUAUUUGAGGGGAGAAUUUUAUUAUUAUUUUGGCAGAAAAGUGUGAAGGAUUUAGAAUCUUUU
Molecule: ribosomal RNA, 1363 nt
Filed under: Scolytinae sp. BMNH 1039996
Lineage: Eukaryota; Metazoa; Arthropoda; Insecta; Coleoptera; Curculionidae
Description: 16S ribosomal RNA
Rfam family: Archaeal large subunit ribosomal RNA (bases 1077-1235)
Source: RNAcentral